GUCUAACCGUCGAACCGAUCUCGCCCAGCACGGCGCCUACCCAGUCCCACCCGGCUCGGCUCGUCAGCCGAUCCCAGCGUUCCGAGCUGGCUGCCUAGCGUCACGGGCGACGCGCCGCCGCCCCAAAUUACGGCAUUCCCCCGUUGACCAUGACAAACUCAAAUCCUUCCCGUGCUUCGUACGCCGCCGGCGACGAUCCCGUCCCAACCACAUCACAAGCUUCAAAUCUGCUCGCAUCCCUAUCCAUAGCCAUCUACCACCCACUGCUGCUCCGUUCCCAUGCACAUCCUCCUCCGAUUUUAUACCAGGUUGCAUAGCUUUGUUUGAUUCUAUCGAUUUUAGGUACUGGCAGGUCUCAACGGCUGUUAGCAUCCCUCCACCGGCGGCGUGUCACUGCUUCCUCACGGCGACUGUCAUUGUUGACGCACUGGUGGCCCUUUAAUCCCCAUCUCCACAAAGCGGACAUAAUCCGAGGUGAGCAGAUCCACAUAGUUGCACCUAUCCAUCAACCAUGAGGUUCGUGAUUCCUUUAGAGUUUCCACGGCGUGAAUUGCCAGGCGUGGCUACUGGCUUACUGCUACGGGAAGACAUACGAGCGGGACGGCGGCGCACCUGUGGACGCGGGCAUCCUUACCGCAGCUGCAGGUCGUCCAGGCACGAUUAACCAAGGGUUAUGUUUAUGCAUUCUCUGUGUUUGCGUAAAUGCUCAAGAGAAGCUGAUGACCUGCCGCCUGCGCAGGCAAAGCAUUACCCAUCAUUUCUCUAUGCAGUUACAGGUUUCUUCCUGCAGAUUAAGUUCAUCUGUUGAUAGUCCGGACCUGGCCGUUUGCCAUCCCUUCACUGCUGGGAAUAGGCAUUACUAGACCAGAAACAAAGAUUCUGCGGCAAGCAACCGCAAAAAUCCUUCAUACUAAGUCAGCAUUGAUCUGAUUCCUUUUGGAUUAGCAGCAGAUUCCCUCAAGAUUAGCAGCAGAUUGCCCUUGCUUUUCAGGUGAUGAUUCCUUUAUAUCAAGUUUCGCGCAAGAUGAGCUCACCUAAGAGCAGCUAACAGGCAUUGUGCAUUGAUUUGAGUACAAUAUCUGCCCAACCAGAUGCAGCUGAAUGAGAGCACCUCUAAAUGAUUCUCUCAAAUACCGGAUGUAAAUUUAUUUAGCUAAUGUUUCUAUUUAGUGUGAUGUUUAUAAAAUUAUUGUAUUUGUCCUGCCAAAAUGGGUUAUAUGUAUAUAUUAUAGUAAUCCAUCUUUCUCGAUUAAUCUAUUUACGGUAAUCCACCAUAUGUAUUCCGUUAUGUUAGGCAUUUUUGUAAUUCAUACAUGUUCUGUCAAGAUAUUAGAUAUAUAUUCGAACCAUCUUUCCUAAUUGUA
Panicum virgatum (switchgrass) is the source of this 1364-nucleotide long non-coding RNA. RefSeq lists it as uncharacterized. The record is from RefSeq and is a predicted model, not a curated record. NCBI's taxonomy places the organism in Eukaryota, Viridiplantae, Streptophyta, Magnoliopsida, Poales, Poaceae. The transcript is spliced from 4 exons.